This 253-nucleotide ribosomal RNA is filed under the name uncultured bacterium. Its description in RNAcentral is "partial 16S ribosomal RNA". It matches the Rfam family "Bacterial small subunit ribosomal RNA", at positions 524 to 776 of the family's 1533-position model. The record is from RNAcentral.
UACGUAGGGUGCGAGCGUUGUCCGGAAUUAUUGGGCGUAAAGAGCGUGUAGGCGGCCAAGUAGGUCCGUUGUGAAAACUGGAGGCUUAACCUCCAGCUGUCGAUGGAAACCAUUUGGCUAGAGUCCGGAAGAGGAGAGUGGAAUUCCUGGUGUAGCGGUGAAAUGCGCAGAUAUCAGGAAGAACACCCGUAGCGAAGGCGGCUCUCUGGGACGGUACUGACGCUGAGACGCGAAAGCGUGGGGAGCGAACAGG